AAAAAAAACUUAUUUGCUUAAUGUAUUUAAAUAUGCCCACAGCUCAUUGCUACCUAUAAUACUUACUUCUUGCAACUUAAAAAAUUAGGCAAAAUUACAAUGUCUCAAAUUUAGACGAUUCUCAUAUGCCAACUCACACCUCCUGUCCAAAUGUUUGCUUCCCGAUACCACUCGUUAAUUUAUCCGCUCACAGGACCAGCCUAGCUCUCAUGGCAAUCAGGAUUGAUGCCGUAUAUGAAAUCACUUGUGUGACAGGCAAAUCUUGUGUAUUGGCCACUGGUCGAGUGAAGCAGUGAAGUAUUUUUCUUCCUCGGAUGCUGCGCUCCCAUAGAUGACUUAUUUCUCUGGGG
This 350-nucleotide long non-coding RNA is filed under the name Phoenix dactylifera (date palm). RNAcentral's name for it is "long non-coding RNA (PDAC_LNC005487)". Lineage: Eukaryota; Viridiplantae; Streptophyta; Magnoliopsida; Arecales; Arecaceae. The record is from RNAcentral.